This 447-nucleotide ribosomal RNA is filed under the name uncultured bacterium. Its description in RNAcentral is "partial 16S ribosomal RNA". It matches the Rfam family "Bacterial small subunit ribosomal RNA", at positions 29 to 523 of the family's 1533-position model. The record is from RNAcentral.
AACGAACGCUGGCGGCAGGCUUAACACAUGCAAGUCGAACGCCCCGCAAGGGGAGUGGCAGACGGGUGAGUAACGCGUGGGAAUCUACCUUUUGCUACGGGAUAGCUCCGGGAAACUGGAAUUAAUACCGUAUGUGCCCUUCGGGGGAAAGAUUUAUCGGCAAAGGAUGAGCCCGCGUUGGGUUAGCUAGUUGGUGGGGUAAAGGCCUACCAAGGCGACGAUCCAUAGCUGGUCUGAGAGGCUGAUCAGCCACAUUGGGCCUGAGACACGGCCCAACCUCCUGAGGGAGGCAGCAAUGGGGAAUAUUGGACAAUGGGCGCAAGCCUGAUCCAGCCAUGCCGCGUGAGUGAUGAAGGUCUUAGGAUUGUAAAGCUCUUUCACCGGGGACGAUAAUGACGGUACCCGGAGAAGAAGCCCCGGCUAACUUCGUGCCAGCCGCCGCCGUAA